CGAACGCUGGCGGCGUGCCUAAUACAUGCAAGUAGAACGCACAGUUUAUACCGUAGCUUGCUACACCAUAGACUGUGAGUUGCGAACGGGUGAGUAACGCGUAGGUAACCUGCCUGGUAGCGGGGGAUAACUAUUGGAAACGAUAGCUAAUACCGCAUAAUAUUAAUUAUUGCAUGAUAAUUGAUUGAAAGAUGCAACUGCAUCACUACCAGAUGGACCUGCGUUGUAUUAGCUAGUAGGUGAGGUAACGGCUCACCUAGGCGACGAUACAUAGCCGACCUGAGAGGGUGAUCGGCCACACUGGGACUGAGACACGGCCCAGACUCCUACGGGAGGCAGCAGUAGGGAAUCUUCGGCAAUGGACGAAAGUCUGACCGAGCAACGCCGCGUGAGUGAAGAAGGUUUUCGGAUCGUAAAGCUCUGUUGUAAGAGAAGAACGGGUGUGAGAGUGGAAAGUUCACACUGUGACGGUAUCUUACCAGAAAGGGACGGCUAACUACGUG
RNAcentral lists this ribosomal RNA (503 nucleotides) under uncultured bacterium. Its description in RNAcentral is "partial 16S ribosomal RNA". It matches the Rfam family "Bacterial small subunit ribosomal RNA", at positions 30 to 507 of the family's 1533-position model. The record is from RNAcentral.